GCUGGGUGUGGUGGCACAUGCCUGUAAUCCCAGCAGCCCAGGGAGACUGAGGCAGGAGGAUCACAAGUUCAAAGCCAGCCUCAGUAACUUAGUGAGCCCCUGUUUCAA
RNAcentral lists this small RNA (108 nucleotides) under Marmota monax (woodchuck). Lineage: Eukaryota; Metazoa; Chordata; Mammalia; Rodentia; Sciuridae. The record is from RNAcentral.